This 90-nucleotide non-coding RNA is filed under the name unclassified sequences. RNAcentral's name for it is "c-di-GMP sequence". It matches the Rfam family "c-di-GMP-II-GAG riboswitch aptamer". The record is from Rfam by way of RNAcentral.
CUCAAGACGGGAGGCAAUGAUCCGCCGGACGUACCGCUGCGGCCACCGCAGUCCGGCGGGGAGCCACUGGUGAGACCGGCCCGCGUGCCG